UUAAAACUGUUUGAAUAUUAUGGGGAACCUUCCUCAAAGGCUAAAUAUAAUACAUAAGCGAUAGUGAAAAGUACCAUGAGGGAAAUAAAAUAAAAAUAGUAGUUUUAUAAGCAGUUCGAAAUAAAGAACGUACCUUUUGCAUAAUGGGUCACCAAGUUAACGUUAGAUGCGAGAUAAUACGUAGUUAAACCGAACGUUAAAAUAACGAUAUAGUAUCUAAAGUUAGACCCGAAGCCUGGUGAUUUUACCAUGGUCAGGAUUAUAAAAGUCCGAACCGGUGAUUGUAGCAAAAAUCUCGGAAGAACUGUGGUAGGUGUAGUGAAAGACAACACUGACUAGGAUAGCUGGUUUUCUGCGAAACCUAUAAUAGUAGGCAGUUUAAGUAAAUAUCUUAGCAGGUACAGAAUUUAAUCUCAGACAAGACAUUUCAAUGUUUUAUAUUGUACAAAUUGGGGGAUCAUGAAGAUUUUAUCAGUGAGUAUGUAGACUCGGAAUGGCAAAGAUAUAUCUUAAACUAUCAGACAUAGAAUGAUAAGGUUGUAUGUCGAAAGGGAAACAGCCCAGAACAAGAGUUAAGGUUCCUAAAUUAUUUGUUAAGUGAAAAUAAGAAGGUUUUUAUUUAAGUCGACAAGGAGAUAGGCUUAGAAGCAGCCAUAAUUUUAUGACCUCGUAACAGAGCGCUUGUUAAAUUAUAAAAGCGUCGAAAAUAUAACGGAUCUAAACAAUAUACCGAAACCUUGUCCAUAAUAUAUUAUAAUAAAUAUGUUUAUUAUAAUUAAAUGGGGUAGCAGAACGUUGAGCUAAAGUAUGAGUUUUAUUUUUUAAAUAAAAUUAUAUUAAUUUAACUCAAGUGAGAAUGGUGACAUGAGUAACUAAAAGAAAAUUUUCCGCCUUAAGCUUAUGGAUGUAAUUAAGUAACGGCCUCUAAGUUUAUAUAAUCUAAAGAUUUAAACGAUGAGAAAAUCUUUAUUACUAAAAACAACAUUUUGGUGCAAAAUGUGCUGGAAAAAUAGUAAUAUGUUUGUUAUUUAAUAACAAAUAAAAUAACCGUACCUAGAAUCUGAAACAAGUAAGCUAGUAGAGAAUACGAAGGCGUAAAUGAGCUAACAAUCAUAAAGGAACUCGGCAAAUUGACUACCGUAACUUCGGAAUAAGGAGGGCUCAUUAUUCUUGAUGAAUAUCAAGUAAAGAGGAAGAAGCAUGAAAUAAUGUUGUACGACUGUUUAAUUAAAACACAGCACUUUGCUGAAAGAUUAAAAAUCUAAGUAUAAAGUGUGAUAUCUGCCCGGUGCCGGCUGGUUAACAGAGAUAAUUGAAUACACUAAUAUUUGAUGUCGACGGAAACCCCGGUUAAAGGCGGCCUUAACGUGAGGGUCCUAAGGUAGCGAAAUGCCUUGGCCGUUAAAUGCGGUCUUGCAUGAAUGGUGUAACGAUACAACAGCUGUCUCUAUGAUUGACUCAGUGAAAUUGGAAUAGCUGUGCAGAUACAGCUUACCUCUAGUUAGACGAGAAGACCCUAUGCAGCUUUACUGUCACUAAUUAUAGAGUAUGAUAAACGAUUUUCAGAAUAUAAGGUAAUUGACAAACAUGACAAUGAGAAACCUUUAUUCUUUUUUCAUAUGAAUGAAUUGGUUUAGGAUUAUGAGUA
RNAcentral lists this ribosomal RNA (1648 nucleotides) under Trichoderma lixii. Its description in RNAcentral is "large subunit ribosomal RNA". It matches the Rfam family "Bacterial large subunit ribosomal RNA", at positions 428 to 2247 of the family's 2925-position model. The record is from RNAcentral. Lineage: Eukaryota; Fungi; Ascomycota; Sordariomycetes; Hypocreales; Hypocreaceae.